Molecule: ribosomal RNA, 575 nt
Filed under: uncultured marine eukaryote
Lineage: Eukaryota
Description: SSU rRNA
Rfam family: Eukaryotic small subunit ribosomal RNA
Source: RNAcentral
UUGCAGUUAAAAAGCUCGUAGUCGGAUUUCAGUAUUAGGCCCUUCUUCCAAUACGGUUGCUAGUGGUCUUUACUUCCUUAACAGAAUCUUUCAUCUCAUUAAUUUGGGGUGUUUGGGGCCUGUUUCUUUUACUUUGAGAAAAUUAGAGUGUUCAAAGCGGGUUUUCGCCUGGAUAUUACUCUUGGAAUAAUAAUAUAGGACUUUGGUUCUUUUUUGUUGGUGACUUAGAACCGAAGUAAUGAUUGAUAGGGACAGUUGGGGUCAUUCGUACUAUGAAGCGAGAGGUGAAAUUCAUGGACCUUUGUAUGACGAACUACUGCGAAAGCAUUUGACUAGGAUGUUCCCGUUGAUCAAGAACGAAAGUUGGGGGAUCGAAGACGAUCAGAUACCGUCGUAGUCUCAACCAUAAACUAUGCCAGCUAGGGAUUGGAGGAAGAUCAUUUUACGUCUCCUUCAGCACCUUAUGAGAAAUCAAAGCAUUUGGGUUCCGGGGGGAGUAUGGUCGCAAGGCUGAAACUUAAAGGGAUUGACGGGAGGGCACCACCAGGAGUGGAGCCUGCGGCUUAAUUUGACUC